This 158-nucleotide ribosomal RNA is filed under the name uncultured bacterium. RNAcentral describes it as "partial 16S ribosomal RNA". It matches the Rfam family "Bacterial small subunit ribosomal RNA", at positions 355 to 509 of the family's 1533-position model. The record is from RNAcentral.
UGAGGAAUAUUGGUCAAUGGGAGAGAUCCUGAACCAGCCAAGCCGCGUGAGGGAAGACGGCCCUAUGGGUUGUAAACCUCUUUUGUCGGAGAACAAAACCCGGGACGUGUCCCGGACUGCGUGUAUCCGAAAGAAAAAGCAUCGGCUAACUCCGUGCC